Molecule: long non-coding RNA, 17117 nt
Filed under: Homo sapiens (human)
Lineage: Eukaryota; Metazoa; Chordata; Mammalia; Primates; Hominidae
Description: HSALNT0347565
Source: RNAcentral
CUCAUUUUCUCUUGCCUCUGCUAUGUAAGAAAACCUUUCACCUCCCACCAUGAUUUUGAGACCUCCCCAGCCAAGUGGAACUGUAAGUCCAAUUAAACCUCUUUUUCUUCUCAGUCUCAGGUAUGUCUUUAUCAGCAGCAUGAAAAUGGACUAAUAACCUGGUAACCACCAAUCUACUCUGUCUUCAUGAGAUACACUUUCUUAGCUCCCACAUAUAAGUGACAACAUGCGCUAUACAUUUAAUCUUCUUUUGUGUAAAUUGGGUACAUUUAAAGGAUUUGGAAAGGUUUAAAAAUGAUGUAGAUAUUGCUUAUUUCUUCUUCAGCAUAUUUCCAGAUAAUUUAUACACUAAGUUGCUAUUAAGAAUGAGAUUUUUCUUCCAUUGUCUUUGCUACUGGAUGUUAUUAAGACAUAAAAAAAACUUGAUUUAUAUAUGUUAAUUUUAAUUCAAUCAAGUUCAAAAACCUUAUUGAAUUCACCGAUUUUAAUAAGGUUUAAGAUUUGAUGUUUUCUAGGUAUUGCGUCAUAUUAUUGGCAGUGAUAUUUCUUACUUUCUCUUGGGUUUUUCCUCCUUUUCUCUCUUGUCAGAUAUAUCACUUACUAUUUCCAAAACAACGUUACAUAAUAGUAAUGAUAAUGAAAUUCUUAUUUGAUUUUUGGUUAUCAUGGAAAGGCUUCCAAUGUCUUCGGGUUGAGUUAAAGUAUAUAUUUCAUUAUUUUAAAGUAGUUAUAUGUAAAGCAUAUAUUUUGUCAUAUUAGUUUGCUUCUAUUCCUAUUUUACUUAGAGACAUUUAAAAAUAUAUAUACAUUUUUUAAUGGAAAAAAUGCCUUUCAGUAUCUUUGGAGAUCAUGAUAUUAAUAGAUUUUUUAAUAUUGAGUCGUAGUAAAAAUCUUUUUUUUUUUUAGGCGGAGUUUCACUCUUGUUGCCUGGGCUGGAGUGCAAUGGCGCGAUCUCAGCUCACCGCAACCUCUGCCUCCCAGGUUCAAGCAAUUCUCCUGCCUCAGCCUCCCGGGUAGCAAGUAGCUGGGAUUACAGGCAGGCUCCACCACACCCGGAUAAUUUUGUAUUUUUAGCAGAGACGGGGUUUCUCUAUGUUGGUCAGGCUGAUCUUGAACUCCCGACCUCAGGUGAUCUGCCCGCCUCGGCCUCCCAAAGUGCUGGGAUUACAGGCGUGAGCCACUGCACCUGGCCAUAAAAUCUUUUUAUGGCUUUCUCUUGGUCAGGUGCUAUUCUCUUUGCUUAUAUUUUAAAAUUUUAACUUAAUAUUGACAAAUAUUUCCCAUGUGCUACUUUUUAAAAAUUUGGGGAUCAACAUUGCACUGGUUUCAAAAAGAAGAACCAGAAAUUGUCUUUUUUUGUCCAUGUUCUACAACAGUUUAUAAGGCUGUCUUUUUUCUGUUCUUUAAAAGUUUUAUGUAAGUUUCUGAGCUAACUCUCUGGUUCUAAUGCCUUAGGGGAGGCAAGUGGGUACCUUGUAACAUUAUUUCCUGUUUGGAAAUUGGUCCUUUUGUGUCAGUUUCAAUUUGUUACUUUUUCCUAGAAAAUCAUCUAUUUUAUGAUUUUCAAAUUUAUUUUUUUGAGUUGAGCAAAGUUUUCAUUCAUAAUUCCUUUUAUUCUUCUGUGUCUGUGGCUAUUUUCCCAUUCUCAUUUUUUACUUUUAUAUUUCCCCCUUUUCAUAAUUAUAUUUGCUAAUAAUUUUUUUACUAUAUGGAUAAUUAUUUUUCAAAAAGAUGACUCUUAGUUGUAUUAGUUCUACCAUUUUUCAGUUUUCUUAUUUAUUAAUGUCUGUUUUUACUUUUUUAACUUAUUUUCUCUUGUUUUUAUUUUUCAUCUUGUUUCAAAUGUUUUUAGUUGUAUGCAUGAUCUGUUAAUUUUUAAUCUUAUUUGUUAAUAUAAUUACUUAGGGCUUUUCUCUCAACACUGCUUACAGUGCAGCCACAGCUCUGAUUUAUUUUUAUGCCAUUUCUAUCUUCUUUAUAUCUUUGUUAUGAGUUCUUUAUUUAUUAGAGGUUUUUUCUUGCUUUUUUAUUAGUAUGCAGAUAUUUGAAUUAUUAUCAGAUUAUAUUUACAGUGCCAUAAAUCUUUAGAAUUUACUGAGAUCUCCUUGGUGGCCUAAUAUUUGUUUGAUAUGUGUUAAUAGUCCUUGAAAAUUUGAGAAGAAGGUACAUUCUAAAUUAUAAAAUGAUAUAUAUUAUAUGUAAUUAUAUUUAAUUUUAAAAUCUAACAUAUUACUUAGGUCUUCUCUAUCUUCAUUCGUUCUUCACUUGACUUGUCAAAAUUAAGAAGCAAAAGUCUUCUGCUCUUCAUAUGUUCAGUCUAUUUAUCUGUCUCUCUGCCUCCACCUCCCUAUCUGUGUCUCUCUCUCUCUGUUUUACAUAUUUAUAUUUUAGAUAAUUUAUAUCUUAGAUACUAAUGAAAUUUGGACGAUCUGCAUAAAUUCUGCCCAUUAUUAUUAUAAAAAAAAUCCUACUUGUUUUGUUCAGUCUUUUUACUCUGAAUUCUACUUAUCUAAUAUUAAAUGUUAUGACUACUAGUUUCUUUCCUCUUCAAUUCUUGAAAUGUUUUUUCCUUUUAAAAACAAUUUUCCACUCUUUUUAGUCACUUUGUUUUAGAUGUGUUCCUUAUUUAUGCUUUGUGAAUUUGUACGAUGACCUUUGUUAUUAUUCAGGAGGUUUGCCUUCUGCUUUUAGAAAUGUUAGCAGUUACUUCUAUUAAUAUAACUAGAACUUAUUAUAACAUAUUUAAUUUUCUAUGUCUAUGAAUAGUAUCAACUAACUCUUAAUAUGAAGACACAAGAAAUUAACAUAUUCCACAGCCUUUCAGUUCUUUCUUUCCUUUCUUCUCAGCAUUGCCAAUAUAAUACUUGAUUAUAUGAUUUCCAUGGUUCUUGUAGUCUUUGCCUUUCUGACAUUAAGAAGACAAACUUUAAUUAUCUGGUUUAUCAGCUUUUAAAUUAAUAAAUUAACUUGGCUAUAAAGUGAAAAGUCAGUUUUAUUUAUACUACAAACUUCUUUAAAUAAUUUGUGUUUCUGUUGUGGGUAUAUAUUCCAAUGGUAGAACUACCUACACAUCACAUUCUUAACAUUGGAAAUCCAAUAAGAUUUUUAUGUCUCUCUAAAAAUAAUUAUAAUUUUAAAAGCAAAGAUUUUUUCCUAUAGUCAACUGAGAGUUAGCUAGCAAUUUUAAGAAGAAAUUUAGAUAGGACAAAGGCAUAUACAGCAUAGAAAAGAAUAAAUCCAAUGGCACAAGAGUAGUAUAACUCAAGUUUGUUACCGAAUAUUUUAAGUACAUAAAUUUAAAUCACAUCACUAUAGUACUAUUUUGCAUGUAAUAAUGUUGCAAUAAAAUAUUGCAAGACAAAGAUAAUAUUUGUGAAGUGAAAUAAAAAUGCUUUGUCUUAGCUUCACCUGCAUGGUGCCUUAUGUAAACACACUGCUGUUUGCUCACUAGAAAGAAUUAGUUGAAUAUACAUUCUCAGGACAGCUUGACAUACAGUCAAGAGGUACAGACUGUACUACUUGUCUAACUAUGCAAACUUUUCAUUUUGAGUUAAGUAGAAGAGGCAGUUUCCAAUGUGUUUGUCUUUUGCCUGAGAACCUCUUUACAUCUCGUGUAACCCCAGGAGAAAAUACCACUGGGGUUACUUAGAGGAAUUCGGACUACUAGAAUUGGAUCUGAGUUUUAUUUGCUGUGUCAGGAAAAGCCUACUUGUCUACAGGGUGACUGUUGCUAUCUCAGAAGAAGUUCGGUCUUAGUUGUUUAGGAAGUCACAUAUGGGCAGUCUUCACAUUGACUUUUUUAUAUGCCCUUAAUCAGUUGCGUCUACCUUAUACUGCCCCCUAGAGUACACAAAGUCCAUUGACAAGCGUUAUCUUCCACACAUUUUGAGUGUGCCAAUCACAAACUGCAUCUUUAAGUCAUUUCUCUAUUGUUCAUUCAUACAUGUAUAACCGUAAAUAAGAUUUACAACUGACCUUUAUUGUGAAGUACACAUGCUAUAUCGUACUGCUUCUCUAACACUGCUCAAAAAGAAUGUUAGAUGUCAGUAGAUAGACUCAACAUACCUAUCAUCAGAGAGAUAGACAUAGUUGCAUUAACUUUCAUAGCAUUGACAAACCUCAGCCUCCUUGCUUGAAAUGUUACCAAUACUAAUGCUAUUUACCCCAAUCAUAAUCAUCAUCGUAAGACAGCAAGCCUCCCUCCUACACAUUUGUAACUAAACUCAGUGCUUCCAACUCAGAGAUGGUUUUCAAUCAAUAUAUCCAUUGUGUGAAAGUAAAUGCGACUUGGCCUUCAGCCAAGACUAUGCCCAAGACAUUAGUUCUGUGUUCCCUGAGUGAAUUCAGCCUUUCUUAUAGGAUUCAGGUAUUUAAUCACUCCAUGUCUACACAAUAUCACUGCGAGCCCUGGGAAGCAUUACCACAUUGCUGUUUUUAUUUUGUCACUCACUCCCCUUACUGGUUUGUUUUUAGAGGUUUAACUGAGCCUUUAGCCUAAAGGCUAUUUCCUUUACAUGUGUUAUACAGAAGUAUGUAGGAAUUUCGCCAAGAGGCAAUAUAAUGAGUGUUGGAAAUGGGACAGGUUUUGGGGUCAGAUGGACCUGCAUUUGAGAUCUGGCACUGUCACUCACUUAUUGAGCAACCUGGGAAAGUUUACUUAACGUCUGAAAAUCUUAUUUUUUCAUCUGUAAGAAUGCAUACUACACUCCAAAUUGCAUAAUUAUUUUGAAAAUUAGAAAUAAAGCCAUGUAUCUAACAGAUUUUUAAAAAGUAAAUAGCUCAGGGGUAUGUAAUGUAUUUAAAAGAAAGGAUUCACAGGAAAAUAUGUGACUUCUUAUCUCUACUAUCAAAGAAAAGAAAAAAAAAGAAACAUUACCCUAAGAAAAUAAGAUAUCCUUGGGUUUUUUUAGUUCUAAUGUUUAAAUUAAUAUGUUUCACAUAAAAAAUCUUCUACCAGUUUUCGAUUACAGAUGACUUAAUCUAACAACCACCAUCCAGUAAGUGUGAGGACUGUGCUAAGUGCCAUGAGAAACUCAGGACACACUGCAAGAGCCUGGCACUUACUGAGGCUCAGAAAACAAUACCCCAAAGUCUGGCACUUUGGCAUGCUGGGUACUUUGAACUAAAGGAGAUUGGAAGGCCUGAAAAGCAGUCUCAGAAGCAGUAUCUCUCUGACCUGUUCCUGCCUGCCUAUCUCCCACCCCUCGUUUCCUCACAAAGAAGGGUCCUGUCCUGUACCCGGGAGGAAGAAAUGCUACACAGAGAAGCCAAGAUGAAUCUGAACAGACAGCCUUUGUCAGUUCCACAGAUUCCAUAAAAGUUAACUCCAGAGCAGAGAAUGAUGCCACAGUCGGGAUAACAUCCAAUAUUUGCAAUCAGAAGAAAUAUGAGAGUCUUGCUCCAUCACCCAGGCUGCAGUGCAGUGGCACGAUCUUGGCUCACUGCAAGCUCCACCUCCCGGGUUCACGCCAUUCUCCUGCCUCAGCCUCCCAAGUAGCUGGGACUACAGGCGCCCACCACCACGCCCAGCUAAAUUUUUUUGUAUUUUUAGUAGAGAUGGGGUUUCACUGUGUUAGCCAGGAUGGUCUCGAUUUCCUGACCUCGUGAUCUGCCUGCCUCGGCCUCCCAAAGUGCUGGGAUUACAGGCGUGAGCCACUGUGCCCGGCCGUAAUUAUUCUUUUCGUGUUAAGCAAUGGUAAAAGAACUGACUGAAAAUAAGAAUAUUAAAAAGUUUCUCUGCUAAAAACAGAAAAUUAUGUUUGUUACCAUUCCUACUAUAACCCCAGUGAUAUGGCUCCGAUGAGUGGAGGAACACCAGGGUUCUUGGUCUUCAUGCCAGUUUAGAUAAAACAACACAGACAUACGUGGAGUGGUUUUAAGGAGCAGACAGUUUAAUAGGCAAGAAGAAAAGAGAAGGCAGAAGGAAAAGGCUCCCCGAUACAAAGACAGAGGGAGGGGGCCUCCAAAGCCAAAAGAGGAAAUCCCAAGUGCAGUGGAUACCAGCCAGGUAUAUGUAGAGGCUGGAGGAGGUGGUGUCUGAUUUGCAUAGGGCUCAGGGGAUUGGUUUGACCAGGCCUGUAAUUCACGGGGCCUGAAAAAGCUGGCCCUCCCACCCUAGCAUUUAAUAUGCAAAUGCAGGGCGCCACGAUGUUCUACAAAUGGUGGGUAUAUGUGGGAGCGGCCAUGUUGCCAGGAACAUGUGGGGCAAGGGCAAGAAGGCCACGGGAAUCACCAUGUUUGGGUAGACGCAGUUUCUAAUGGCUUGCAUUUGCCUAUCAAAGGUUGCCAGCCGCUCUAAGAGCCAGGGCAUUCCAAUUCUGGAGCUGCUUUAAAAAUGAAAACUUCCCAAGGAUCCCUUUUCUUUUCUAUCUGCCUAAAAUAAUUUCUUAAUAACUCCUACAACACAAUGAUUUUCAGUGAAACAAAAGCUGCUGUUUUAUUUUUGUUAAAUUGUUUUUCUUAGCUAAAGAGAUAAAAGUGAGGAUGAGGGAUUCAAAAUGUGGUUUACUUUAUAGAGCUUGCAAAACUCACAGCAUUUAAAGCAGUUUUUAACAGGAGUAUGGGGAUAGGGCUUGAAUGAACUUGGAAAUGCCAUUCAAUUGCUAAAAUCAUAUGCAUCACAUUGUGUUCGUCUGCACAUACGUGCACUUUUCUGGUAAGAAGUUUCAAACUUACAACAAAUUUUCAAAAGAGGUCUAUACUUUUGAAAGUAUAAGAAAUCACUUAGUUUACUGACUUUCCUUAUUUCAGGCCACAUCCAAAAGUACAAAACAGCACAUUUACAUUUUGUAUUUCACAUUUUUUUCAAUACUUACCUUGGGAGCCAUAGGCCCUGCUAAAGUUUUGCUGAAAAAUCAUGGACAUGAUGCAGAUUAAUUAAGAGGAGAAAAGGCAUAUAGAUUUAUUUAACAUGUAUACACAGGAGCAUUCAAAAUGAAGACCCAGCUUCUCCAUGAGUUACAGAAACUUAUAUACCAUCUUGAGUUUGCAGAACGAAUGGGGGCUUGCAUCCUGGUAAGACAGGAUAUAGGAAGAAGGAGAAGAGAAAUUCUAUUGAGGGGCAAUAAAUGACUGUGAAGGAGAAUGAUUGGAUCAGGGAACAGAGAUUAACUUUGUAAAUAGUUUUCUUUGAAAUUUAAAUGAUCCUUGGAGACAAUCAUUGUUCUUAUUAAAAGGUCUGUUCAGGUAUUGGUCACAUCUUGGCCUUCUUUUCUGCAAUAGAUAAUGAGAUAACAGAGAUGGGAAGAAAACACAAUAGUUCUCAUUGGUAGGUCUGGAUCCUAAGCAGAUAAAGGAACUUCAGUUUAUUUGGGAGAGACAGUGGUGGUGAGAGGCCAAAGAGAUCUUCAGGCUUCUUCAGCUCAGCAUGUCAAAAUGCCAUAUUUUGGUAUAUGAAUUUCUGAGCCCCAACAUUCUCCCAUCUGAAACUUCCCUAGGAGUUUCACAAACUAAAAGCUGAGUUAGUGGCUGUGGAAGAGAAAAGUUAAGCUAAAAUAUGAAUGGCAAAUAAUUCUAUUUAACCAAUCUGUGAAUAGGUCAAUUAAACACCUCUUUCAUUUUAGGAGAUAGCAUUGCAGAUGGGCUUUCAAACAGAAGAAAAACAGGUUAAUUUUGGAAACAGUCUAUAAACCAGUUUCCUUACAGUCUGCAGGGCAGUCAGUUGAGGUGUCCAGAUGUUAGACUCAAAGCCCAGUUAAAGAGGAAGCCAGCAAUGGCAAUCUGACAAGAUUUUUUUUGCCUGUUUCAAAAAGUUUAAGCUUUAGCUUAUAGGGCCUCAGGAAAAAGGUAGUAGCAAUUCCAUUGAGUCCAAGUAAGAAAAAUCCUUUUGAAUUUUUUAUUACCAGAUUUUAGUGAGGAUAAACAGCUGAUAUUUCUGGCUUUUAAACAUUUUUUUUUUUAACCAAUGACAUCCUCCCAAGUACCAUAAUCGAGGUUAUAACUUAAGCAUAAGGUGUCUUCAAAGAGGUGGCAAACACUUUUUACAAGAUAUAAAAUUACCCCAAAGAUAGCUCAAAGAAAGGAAAAUUUUGGUAGCCAUAAAUGGAGUGUGACUCACAUUUCUGUUUGGCCAGUCUCUGGAGUCUCAGCUGCUCAGCUCAUUUUCUACAUACAGAAGCCAAAAUGCCUCAUAUGCCCCCACAGAUGAAAGACAGGAAAUCAAAAUCUGUCCAUGGAAGGGAAAAUAAUCAAUAAAUUUUGGGAAGGUAACACAAACGUCAAUCCAGAAAGCACUAAGUCCCUUGCCAGAAGUUUAAUCCAGGCUGCUGUGGUAAAAGGGCAGACCUUGGCUACUAGGUUACAACAUGAGGUGGUCUUUAUUGUUCUUCCCAGAAGAAAUCCAGAGCAGACAGUUUCAAUUUGCAAAGGAUUUUAACUUUGUUUUAGGUCAGAUUUUUUUUUCUCUUUUAAUUUAGUCAGAGAAUUCUCAAGGCUAACUGUGACACCAUUAUGUGUCCUUUUAAAAUGUAUUUUCCCAUUAAUUCUUUCCAAUUAAAAAAAAUCUCUAAAAUCUUUUAAAAUUUAUCUUUUGGCCACUGACAAUUAGAAUUUUCAAUGACAUACUUAAUUCCAAUAGUGACUUUAUCCAAAAGCCUCUUCAUGUAAAGCCCAGGUGGUAAUUUUCCAGGUUUUUACCAUGUAAGCAACAGUUGUUCCCGGAGAGGGUGUAGAGGAGGCGAUCCCCAUGAUCUCCACAAAUUCAUUCUCGGAAAUAGACUCAACAUAGCAAAGAUGACAAAAACCCCAUAGGGUUGGGACUUUUUAAGACAAAACUCACCUAAAAGCUUCAUACAUUCAGAAUGAAGAGUGUGCUGCUUAAAAUAUUACAUGCCUCGGUUUGCAAUCUUUCAGACUGGCUGCCUAAUGUGAACCUGAAAAAUCACACCCUUUGGAUGAUGGAGACUAAGAGAGGACCCCCACUUAGUCAGUCAUGCUCUCAAGGACAUAAGACAGGAUAAAAGGAAAACCUCAUCUGUAUUACAGGGACCCAUAGCAAAGUUUGUUUUAAUAGACACCCAUCUAGCCAGAACCACCAAACCAGCCAAUCUUCAGGGCUGGCUGAAACAAUGGGCUUAUAGGGGUUCUAGGCCUAUGUUCUACACUAUGGUACCCAUCUUCACGACAGAACAACACAGAAAGACAAAGACAAAGGAAAAUGGCAACAACAACAACAACAACAAAUCACCUAUUUCUGAGAGGAAAGGGGGGGUCGAAGAAUGUGAAUAUUCAUACCUCACAGUACUGAAAGUACACUGGAGUCACUAUAACCCAAGACUCAUCACACAAAUCCUUUUUUCUCAUUAAUAAAAUCAUUGCAGAUGAGACAAACAAUGAUUUUUUCCCAUCCACUCAACUGGAAUGCAAAGAGAGAGAGAGGUCAGGAGACUGGCUGGUAAGAAAUUCUUAUCCCUUUGCUGGCAGGUCAGGUUCCUGGGUUCUCUUUACUGCAGCUUAUAGAAGAGAAGAGCAGCUUUGAUUACCCUGCUCACUGCACUAUACUGUGGUGGCCAUAGGCUCUUGGUCCCUUGAAGUUUCACUGAAAAAAAAAUCACUGACAUGAAGCAGAUAAAUUAAUAGGGGAAAAGGCAUGUAAAUCUAUUUAGCAUGUAUACACAGGAGCCUUCAGAAUGAAGACCCAACUUCUUCAUGAGUUACAGAAACUUGAGGUUACAAAAGAAUGGGGGCUCGCAUCCUGGUAAAACAGGUUAUGGGAACGGUGGAGGGGGAAGAGGAAUUUUACUGAUGGGCAAUAAAUGAUUGCAAGGGAGAAUGACUGGAUUGGGGAACAGAGAUUAACUGAUCUGUAGAGACAGUAAUUAUCCUCAUAAAAAGGUCUGUGCAGGUAUGGUCACAGCUUCUUUUCUGCAGUAGAUAAUGAGAUAAUGGGGAGGGAAAGAAAAAGACAAAUUAUUCUCCUUGGUGGGUCUGGAUUUUAGGCAGAUAAAGGAACUUCAGCUUCUUUGGGUGAGAUCAUGUGGAGAUUAGGUCAGAGAGACCUUGAAGCUUCUUCAGCUUAGCAUGUCAAAACAUCAUAUUUUGGGGUAACAAUUUCUGAGCCCAACAUUAUUAUGUCAACCCCUCCAGGAAACUGCAAUUGAGCAGAAUAGAUAGUAAUGAUACUAAGGUUAUAAGGGUGUUAAAAGAUAACAUUUUUUAAGGGUAAAAGCAUUCUUCUCAAAAAAUAUAAAACACAUGAAGAUUCUAUUAAAUUCAUUAAUUAAUAAUGGAAUCAAAUGUUAGAACCAGUUCAGAGUAGUUCUUUUUAAUGACACAAAUGUAGGGAAUAAGGAAUGCUAAAACAAAAUUUUAAAUAAAGACAGAAGUGAUCUAUCUACAGGACAAUAACCAACUGCAUUCCACAAGGACCCAAUUUGUUUGUAUUUCAACUGAAAAGAAUCAUUCACAUUAUUAUGAGUUUUAAAUCCUUCAAAAACAAUGACAAGCACAGAGAUUGCAGAUGGGUACACUAUAAAGGCUGCCAGCGAUCUCCCCCUCCCUCAUUUCGAAUCUGUCACAAUUUUUCUGACAUGCAUUUGCAGAGAAAUUGUGAUGAAGUUUUUUUCUGUCACACAAAAGGCAAGCAUCCAAUUUGACUGAGGGAGUCAAAGGUAGUCCCCACAGAAGUGGUAUUUAAAUGAAUGUUGAAUGAAUGUGCAUUAAGUAAAGAAUAUCUAUGGGGACUUAACAUUUGAAAGGUUCUGGGGCAUCUGAAAAAACAGAGCAAAGCUGUUGGAUGACAAUGGAAUGCUAAUUUAGAGUCGUGUUUGGAAGAACUGAGGUCCCAGUGGUGGAAUUUGAGUUUAUGAUUUCCCAAAGUACGCCUCCUAGAGGAGGAAGUAUACAUCAGUGCUUGAUGGCUUUGAGAGAGUCUUGAGAGUGUAGCCUGCAGCUUCUCAAUGAAAAAUGUCAAAUUUAUCUGCAAUCAUGUUUUAUCUUAAAAUUUCGCUUGGUUUUUAAUAUAACAAUCUAUGAGAUUACAACUUAUUGAGUAAAAUUUAUUGUGCUUAGUACAUGAGAGGAAAGAAGUAUAUAUUGGUUUUGAAUUUUGGCUGAACUGACAUUCCACAAAGUCAUCCCAGGCUCUUAGCCAGACUCUCUGGGUACACUCACUUUGUCUCCGGAGAUAUGCAAGCUCCUCAAAUUAAGGUGCAAAACAUGCAUUGACUACAGGUUACUAAAAGCUUUUAUUGGUCAGUGAAGUCACACGGUUAGUUUUAUUAUGUUUGGGGAAAAUUACUGCCAAUUCCAUGAAAGAAGAUUUGACCCAGCACCAGUGGGAAGCAGUGAUCAGAAAAUGGGCUGCCGAAACAGGCUUGGACUGAGGGUGUGAAUGGGAAGAAAAACGCUAUCUUACAGAGGUAAUUAAAAUGUUCUGACCAAUUAUCUACAGGCGAGAAAAGAGAAGGGUCAGGUAUAACAUUUCUGGUUGUAUUCCUGCAGACAGUUUGCUGGUAGAACUGGAGUUAGCAACUAUGCCACUGAUAGAAACAGGAGACAGCCAAGGGUCCCCGGAGAAACCCUGCCUUCAAGCCUAAAACGCCCUGCAGGCUGAAAAACCAGCUGCUGGUCCUGGAUGAAACCCACAACCCAGAGGGAGAACUGCCCCUGUUUGCCCGCCCUUUCCCAGCCGAUUCUUUCAGAAUAAGGCCCACAUGCGCACCGGGGAAACGGGGUCGAGCCACAGAAAGUUGCGCCUUGUUCAAUGGGGAGGAGUCUGGUCUCUUCAGUUUUCCUGUGCGUGGCCUGGAAUCAAUCUGUGAGGUGGGGGCCUAUUGGCAGGAUCCCCUCUCGCUUUCUUGAGAGUUUUUUUCUUUUUUUCCUUUUUGCCCAGUAAAUUCUGUUCCCCACACCCUUCAAUGUGUCCACGUGCCUAAAUUUUCCAGUUCUUGAUAUAAGAACCUGGAUUUAGCUGAACUAAGGAGCAAAAAUUCUCCUUAGAAUUUUUGGAAGGUUGGUGUAAAGUUAACAGUUGCAGCCACCUGACGGUUUCUAAAUCCCAGGUUUCUUGUAUUACCCAUUGCUCUUUUUCUCUAGCCUUUUAAAGCAGACCUGUAAGAGACCAGGCCAGCUUUAGCAUUUCUUUUGUCUUUUAAUCUGUAAGUUUUGUGCUUGAGCAGGAAGCAGACAGGUUACCUUUUUAAGACACUAAAGGAGAUGAGAUGAAAUUAUUUGUAUGAUCAAAAUGCAUAUUUAGAAUGUGCAUCUGUAAGUUUUCCAUGAUUAAGUUCUUGGGAAAAAAUUUUCAUUUUCCUACUUGGGAUUAAAGAAAAUUCAUCAUAAUAGCGUAGUUAGAAGAGUGAAUGUGAGGAUGCAAAGCCAAGCAAUAUUUAAAUUUACCAAUCUAAGAAGAAAUCUUUAAUCUGGCAUUAUGGCCAAUGAAUCUCAUGUAAAAUUUUCUUCCAGAUGCCCACACAGCUUAACUUUUAGAAACACAACACAGGAUAUUUCAGAGAUAAGCUGUGAUGAGUUCAGGACACGCUACCCCCAAAAUAUGACACAGUGGCAUAUGUAAUAUUUUAGGUGGAAGGAAUUUGAGAAAUAUCAUGAGUGGGAAGUGUCUUCUGACCUUCCCAUGAAGCAGAUCAUAACAACCUCAUGUGAAAGGUGCCCUCCCUAUACCCAGAUGAAAGGAGCAGCCUUCUCUCUGAAGACACAGGGACACAGACAAGAACUGAAUGAAGGGAUUUUGCUCAGUUUUCCCCAGUUUACUCAUACCCUUUAUGCUAUCACAUUUUCCCAUAACUUUCCACUUUUCAUUAAACCUAGAAUAAAAACUCUCAGGUUAAACUGUUUCUUUGCGUCUUCAUUUCCUUAUGAAAACUCCCAUGUCACAUAAAACUUAAAUAAAUGUGCAUGCUUUUCUCUUGUUAAUCUCUUUUGUUACAGGAGUACCAGCCAAUGCACGUUAAGAUGAGUAGAAGGAAAAGAUGUUUUUCCUCCUCUAUAGCUACAUAGUCACAAACAAGGCUGUACCUGUAUAAGGUUUCUUUGGAUAGCAGUGAGUAAAACCUACGCGGAGAGGUUCUAUGCCGAAGGAAUUUUGCUUACUGGAGGACCAGAAACACACGCGCGCGCGCGCGCACACACACACACACACACACACGGGCAGGGGACAAGGGCGUGGCAAAGGGCUCAGAGUGAUUAGGGAACAUGAGCCUUAUGGAAACCAAAGGAUCCUGGAAAGCAGUAAUAGUCAUUGCUGACAUUCAUUAAUAGCUUAUUAUGAGUGUGUGUGUGCAACACACACACACACACAGAGAAAGAGAGAGAGAUUGAUUCUGCUUUUUCUGGAACUAGAGCUAGAAAUGUGGUUUAGGAGGGUUAGGAUACAAAUCCUAUUCCUUUGGGAUUGCAUCCUUCAAAGGGUGUAUGAGGAGAAUUAUCAUUUCUUUAAUAGUGCUUGGCCCUAAACUUUCCCACAAGUCUGGUCAUGGAAAGCUUUCCCAAGGAGUUCUGCUUUGAGUAUUUAUAUCCGUCUGACUUCUAGGAAAAAGCCAAGAAAUAGACAGAGAGACAAAGAAUACCCUAAAGACACUUAGAGAUGUACCAGAUUGUAAUGUUGCAAAUUUCUUAGGACAAUAUCAUAUAUCAGAAGAGAGUGGGUUUACUUGGAUAGGAGUCAGAAAUUUGGGGAAAUAAUGGCUGUGUUAGCAAAUGCGCCUUCACCCUACCAAGAAGGCUUGUUUUUCUUAGCACACAGUGGAUUUAAAGUUACAGCCUGAGUGGAUAUUCCCAGCUCAGUUGAUUUCUCAUGAGCCACAUAUAUUCACAUGCCCCAGACAAGAUUAUUUCCAGUUUUCAGCACUCGUAGUUCUGGGAAGGGAGAGCUAAAUUAUGUGAGAGCACUCUCAGUGGGGGGACACAUAGAGAGAGUUGUUCUAGCAGCAAUAAAACUAGGGCAAUAAGGGGAAUUGAAGGUUAGGCAAGUCUGAGGCCUCAGACAUGGUGUUCAAUCAAUUAUAACAGAAGGACCUGCAUUGAUUCCAGCUGAAAUCUUAAGUAGGUAGCAGCUAGAUUAGCCUCAACAGAGAAAACAAUUAUUUUGGGGGCUACCUGUGGAGAUGAACUCCCUAAAAAGCUCUAAUUUUUAGAAAAUAUUUCUUAUCGUUUCAACAAACAUUAUGAAGUAUAUUCUGGACACUGGGAAUAGAAAAGUGAGUACGAAGACCCUUUCCUCAAAGGUUUUCUAGUCUUUUCACAAAUUUCUUAUGGGUUUGACAACAGAAAUGAUACUUGAGAAUAUUUAUACCUAUAAUUAAUAAAUUAAUUUUUGCCAUGAAGAAGGAAGACAAAAGAACAUCCAAAAAUUCAUAAAAUACUCUCAACAAAGUAAAAGUUUAUUCCACAUUGAAUCAAAGUAUUAAUUUCAUUUUCUGCAGAUUUUUCAAAUUGGCACUUGCCGUUAAUAAGAAACUUUUACUUUGUUUCCAUGAUUUAUAUAAGGUAAUUUAUAUCAUUCAACUUGCUGUAAAAGUUGAGACUGUUGGAAUUUCUUCAGUAGUUCCACUUCCAACCUUGUGCAGGAACUAUUUCUAACUUCCUAUUUUCAGUCUCCCCAUCUGCAAAAUGGAUUUAAUGACACAUUCACCCAAUAGAUUUUUAAAUAAGUAUUUAAAAAGCAAAUAUAGGGCUGGGUGCGGGGGCUCAUGCCUAUAAUCCCAGCACUUUGGGAGGCUCAGGCGGGCAGAUCAUUUGAAGCCAGGAGUUUGAGAACAGCCCAGGCAACGUGGCGAAACCUAUCUCUACUAAAAAUAUGAAAAUUAGCCUGGCGUGGUGACACAUGCCUGUAAUCCCAGCUACUCAGGAGCCUGAGGUGGGAGAAUCCCUUGAACCCGAGACGAGGAGGUUGCUGAGAUUGUGCCACUGUACUCCAGCCUGGAUGACAGAGUGAGACUGUAUCUAAAAAAAUUAGAAUUAAAAUUAAAAAGUAAAUAUAUAUAUAAAGCACAAAAAAGAGUAACUUACUCAUAGUAAGCUAUUAAUGAAUGUCAGCAACGACUAUUACUACUUUCCAGGGUCCUUUGGUUUCCAUAAGGCUCAUGUUCCCUAAUCACUCUGAGUCCUUUGCCACGCCCUUGUCCCCUGCCCGUAGUGUGAAGUGCUAUUCCCUAUUUAGAGAGCAAUAGCCACUGCUUUAUGUUCUUCACCUGGGAAGGGCUGAUCCAGCAACGAUCCCCAACAGAGGGAUUGGAUCUUUUUCUUCUUCUUUCUCACAAAGACCAAUGGGAGGCGGAGACCUAGAACCUGGGAGCAGGAAGCAGCCAAGGGAAGAGGUGAUUUUUAUUCAACCCUUCAAAAUGCCAAUGUUGUUAAUAAUAUUGUAGCACUACUAAUAAUGCAGACUGUGAUGGCCUCUAUGUCCAGAAGGUCAGAAGUUACCUCAGCCCGCUCCAGGGACACACGGAGGCCAUAGCAUAACGUGGGGCCCAAAGCCAUCUGUUCACAGCAGUGAUACUGACGUAUGGAAUCUGAGGAGCAUUUUGAGAAGCUCUUUUGGUGCAGGUUUUUCAAGCCUCAUCAUUGCAGUAACUCUGGAGCUAUGUUAAGAAACCCAAAAGAGGCAAAAAGAGUAAUGAGAGCCAAGAGGGGUGCCAAGAGAUUCAGGUUUCAUGUGUGACAUUUGAAACAAAAGAUUGGGAAGCGACCUGGAGAAAUUUCCUGAUUUGGUAUUUAGCUGUUCACUGGCCUUGACCUCUGGCCUUGGCCAUGAGGAAAUGGUUAAAGUCAUUGACAAAGAAAAGAGAGCAGAGAAUGGUGUGUGUGUGUGUGUGUGUGUGUGUGUGUGUGUGUGUGUGUGUCUGUGUCCUGCCUCAUAGCCGUUGAUGAAGAUUUUCUCCUUGACUAAACACCAGCCAAGCUCCUCUGAGUCCUCUUCUCAACUAACCCUCAACCUUGGCCUAAAACCACAAAAUGUCAGCAUAAACAAUUUCAUCCACCCCUGUCCCCCACUUUAAAAGACAUGAACAAAUACUAACAUAGUUUCUAACAGCUCAAGGGCAUAUCCUUAGGAUGAUGACUCCAGCGCCAUAAGUUCCUGACUGAGAAAGCUCAGGGUUGCAAAACAAUUUACUGUUUUGUACCAGCCAACACCUGAAUAGGGUCCCUGUCUCCCAGUCUUGGAGGGGGAGUAGGAAUCUAACUUUGAUAAAUGCCAGUUUGCAAACCAAGGUAGCUCCACAUGGACCAACCCCACUUUCUCACAUUUUGUAAAUGUCCACUUCCCUGAUUCUGCUCAAGCCCCUGCUGUUCCCUGUCCCUAGCUCCUCAUCCUUCCUCUAUAAGGCCUAGCCACCUCUGCACAAAUCGUAGUUCAGUUCAGUUCACACUGGACCUACUUCUCUAUUGCAAUUAUUUAUGACUAAUGAAAAUUUGUCUUUACCACUUCCCUCGGUGUCUGGUUUUCUUUAUCUUUGACAGCACCUUCAGCAAUACACAUUCUGAUAUCCUGGGGGAUCUGAUUUUUGAGGCUGAUGAGGCACUUAGUAGGGUAACUAUUUCCAGGAAAAGCUCAGUGAGCAAGAAGAGGAUGAAAACCAACCAGGCAAUGGUUGGAGGAAAGCGCGGCUCAGAUGAAAACAUUAGGAGUGACAUUUUUUAAAGAAAGAAUAUUUCUAAUAGAAAAAGCAUUUGGAUCCUCAGUUAAACAAUUUCGAAGAAAUAUUCCUCAUGGCAAGGAGUUUUAAAUAGAAGAACGUUCUGGUCCCCUAAACUUACUCUCUUGCCUUCUCUCCUUUCUGAUUAAAAAAUUUACUGUUUCUAAACCUUCCUUUUUUCUACCUAUAAAACAUACAAAUUUUAUUAAAAUGAGUCACAUGAGUUUCUAUACACAAGAAAAUGUUAAUGUAAGAAAAAUUAUUAUAUUAUUUGAUUUAGGGAAUUGACUUAAUUUAUACAAUCUGAAUUAUUUUUAUUCUUUAUCCAUGUUCUGGCCUUUAACAACAUUUGUUUCCUUGAUAUAGUUCCUUGUUAUAUAGUUUUGUAAUUUAACUUUAUGUCUUAAAGGUCCAGAAAGCAAACUUAGAUUAAGACAAAUAAAAUAAAACAGACAGUAGAGAUAUCAAUAGAUUUACUUAGAUCCAUUCACUUAACAUCAAUGCAUAACACAUUCCAAAAGCGAG